AUGAGGACAGCCUUUGCAUGUGGCAAAAGUAUAAAACUAGGCUUUUCUUUUGUAACACUCCAAAAAGUAACGUGCCUAGGCGUACACUCAAUUUUUCACUGCUAUCGUCUAGUGGUUCAGGGCAUCUCUCUUUCAAGGAGGCAGCGGGGAUUCAACUUCCCUGGGGGUAGGGAGUAA
This 177-nucleotide ribosomal RNA is filed under the name Triticum aestivum (bread wheat). RNAcentral describes it as "partial small subunit ribosomal RNA". The stretch from base 98 to 169 matches the Rfam family "tRNA". The record is from RNAcentral. Lineage: Eukaryota; Viridiplantae; Streptophyta; Magnoliopsida; Poales; Poaceae.